GGUGGCUCAGUGGUAGAGUGCUUGGCUUGCACGCAUGAGGUUCUGGGUUCGAUUCCUCAGCACCA
Molecule: transfer RNA, 65 nt
Filed under: Dipodomys ordii (Ord's kangaroo rat)
Lineage: Eukaryota; Metazoa; Chordata; Mammalia; Rodentia; Heteromyidae
Rfam family: tRNA
About the family: Transfer RNA (tRNA) molecules are approximately 80 nucleotides in length. Their secondary structure includes four short double-helical elements and three loops (D, anti-codon, and T loops).
Source: Rfam by way of RNAcentral